This 348-nucleotide unclassified non-coding RNA is filed under the name soil metagenome. RNAcentral describes it as "partial contains 5.8S ribosomal RNA, internal transcribed spacer 2, and large subunit ribosomal RNA". The stretch from base 1 to 120 matches the Rfam family "5.8S ribosomal RNA", at positions 35 to 154 of the family's 154-position model. The record is from RNAcentral.
GAUGAAGAACGCAGCGAAAUGCGAAAAGUAAUGUGAAUUGCAGAAUUCAGUGAACCAUCGAAUCUUUGAACGCACAUUGCGCCCGCUGGAACUCCGGCGGGCACGCCUGUCCGAGCGUCAUUUCAACCCUCAGGCCCCCCUUCGCGGGCGGGCCUGGUGUUGGGGCCCGGCCGCUACCCUGCGGCCGUCCCCUAAAUUCAGUGGCGGCCUCGCCGUGAUCCCUUGCGUAGUAAUGCACCUCGCACCGGAGAGCGCCGUGGCCACGCCGUAAAACCCCCAAUUUUCAAUGGUUGACCUCGGAUCAGGUGGGAAUACGCGCUGAACUUAAGCAUAUCAAUAAGCGGAGGA